ACUUCCUAAGCCGGAACGAAAAGUAACUCUGUAGUGAUACAUUGAAGCUUUUGGCUUUGUGGUUGUGAUGUUGUGUUUGCAAGUUGUCUGGUAGACCAGACUUUGUAGCAUAUGCUACUGUUUUUUUCACUUCCUGUA
This 138-nucleotide unclassified non-coding RNA is filed under the name Xenorhabdus bovienii str. feltiae Moldova. Its description in RNAcentral is "GcvB". It matches the Rfam family "GcvB RNA", at positions 1 to 140 of the family's 204-position model. From Rfam's summary of the family: The gcvB gene encodes a small untranslated RNA involved in expression of the dipeptide and oligopeptide transport systems in Escherichia coli. Lineage: Bacteria; Pseudomonadati; Pseudomonadota; Gammaproteobacteria; Enterobacterales; Morganellaceae. The record is from RNAcentral.